GACGAACGCUGGCGGCGUGCUUAACACAUGCCAGUCGAACGGAAAGGCCCUGCUUUUGUGGGGUGCUCGAGUGGCGAACGGGUGAGUAACACGUGAGUAACCUGCCCUUGACUUUGGGAUAACUUCAGGAAACUGGGGCUAAUACCGGAUAGGAGCUCCUGCUGCAUUGUGGGGGUUGGAAAGUUUCGGCGGUUGGGGAUGGACUCGCGGCUUAUCAGCUUGUUGGUGGGGUAGUGGCUUACCAAGGCUUUGACGGGUAGCCGGCCUGAGAGGGUGACCGGCCACAUUGGGACUGAGAUACGGCCCAGACUCCUACGGGAGGCAGCAGUGGGGAAUAUUGCACAAUGGGCGGAAGCCUGAUGCAGCAACGCCGCGUGCGGGAUGACGGCCUUCGGGUUGUAAACCGCUUUCGCCUGUGACGAAGCGUGAGUGACGGUAAUGGGUAAAGAAGCACCGGCUAACUACGUG
This 468-nucleotide ribosomal RNA is filed under the name uncultured bacterium. RNAcentral's name for it is "partial 16S ribosomal RNA". It matches the Rfam family "Bacterial small subunit ribosomal RNA", at positions 28 to 507 of the family's 1533-position model. The record is from RNAcentral.